Molecule: ribosomal RNA, 446 nt
Filed under: uncultured bacterium
Lineage: Bacteria
Description: partial 16S ribosomal RNA
Rfam family: Bacterial small subunit ribosomal RNA
Source: RNAcentral
CCAGACUCCUACGGGAGGCAGCAGUGGGGAAUAUUGCACAAUGGGGGAAACCCUGAUGCAGCAACGCCGCGUGAGUGAAGAAGUAUUUCGGUAUGUAAAGCUCUAUCAGCAGGGAAGAAGAUGACGGUACCUGACCAAGAAGCCCCGGCUAACUACGUGCCAGCAGCCGCGGUAAUACGUAGGGGGCAAGCGUUAUCCGGAUUUACUGGGUGUAAAGGGGGCGCAGACGGCAGCGCAAGCCAGGAGUGAAAGCCCGGGGCCCAACCCCGGGACUGCUCUUGGAACUGCGCGGCUGGAGUGCAGGAGGGGCAGGCGGAAUUCCUAGUGUAGCGGUGAAAUGCGUAGAUAUUAGGAGGAACACCAGUGGCGAAGGCGGCCUGCUGGACGAUGACUGACGUUGAGGCUCGAAAGCGUGGGGAGCAAACAGGAUUAGAUACCCCAGUAGC